AGUAAUGUAUAGUUAAUCUGCCCUUUAGAGGGGGAUAACAGUUGGAAACGACUGCUAAUACCCCAUACUCCUUCUAUGUUAAUCAUAGCUGGGAAAUGUUUUUUCGCUAAAGGAUGAGACUAUAUGGUAUCAGGUAGUUGGUGGGGUGAGAGCCUACCAAGCCAAUGACGCCUAGCUGGUCUGAGAGGAUGAUCAGCCACACUGGAACUGAGACACGGUCCAG
RNAcentral lists this ribosomal RNA (223 nucleotides) under uncultured bacterium. RNAcentral's name for it is "partial 16S ribosomal RNA". It matches the Rfam family "Bacterial small subunit ribosomal RNA", at positions 109 to 334 of the family's 1533-position model. The record is from RNAcentral.